Molecule: transfer RNA, 85 nt
Organism: Thermodesulfobacterium geofontis OPF15
Lineage: Bacteria; Pseudomonadati; Thermodesulfobacteriota; Thermodesulfobacteria; Thermodesulfobacteriales; Thermodesulfobacteriaceae
Rfam family: tRNA
About the family: Transfer RNA (tRNA) molecules are approximately 80 nucleotides in length.
Source: Rfam
GCCGGGGUGGCGGAAUUGGUAGACGCGCUGGAUUCAGGAUCCAGUGGGAGUUAAUCCCAUGCGGGUUCAAAUCCCGCCCCCGGCA